AGACCACAACGCUGUUACAGUGGAGCAGUUGAGCACACUGACAGUUCUGCAGUGUUGAUCUGAUGGAUAGCUCUGAAGAGAUAACUGCAUAAACUACUUAGAGGAGCCAUCAGAAGUGAGAUCUCUAGCUCUAUGGGGCAGGUCUCUGUCACUUGAACUAGUGGAAUAAAUACAGAUGUUGCUAAACAGUGCCAUCCUUCGUGUGCGACACAUAGUCAAAGCUCUGUGCUCUACUGUUGACAGUUCCACAUUUGGGAACAUUGAAAAAGAGGUCACAUGACCUUUCCAAACACUGCAAAACUCUGUUCUUCUCAAGAUGACCUGAAAUGUUCUAAUUAUUGGUUAUUCCCUCUAGUUGGUGAUGCAGCCAACAGGCACAUAAAGUUCAGUGAACCCACAAGUGUACAGCUGUUAUCUUUGACUUGUGGCCAAAAUAAAAAUUGGAUCAGAAU
This is a long non-coding RNA of Gallus gallus (chicken), 452 nucleotides long. The record is from Ensembl. Lineage: Eukaryota; Metazoa; Chordata; Aves; Galliformes; Phasianidae.